Non-coding RNA from Paralichthys olivaceus (Japanese flounder), 412 nucleotides. The record is from RefSeq and is a predicted model, not a curated record. NCBI's taxonomy places the organism in Eukaryota, Metazoa, Chordata, Actinopteri, Pleuronectiformes, Paralichthyidae.
UUGCCAUUAACACAGUGAAGAGCACCCAUGAGUUCUGGAAGGCUCUAAUCUCGAAGAAGACCAGUGCUGGUGAUUUAAACUGCAUGAACACCAGUAUCUCUGACAGUCCGUUCUGCUGCUCUGCUGGUGAUGCAGAGGCUGUGGUUAAAUCUACGUGUGCUCCUGGAGCUGAAGAUCCUGUUCCAAGCCCAGUUGACAAAUGGUUCUACUAUGAGAAGUAAGGAGGAAAAGAGCAGAAACAUGAAGAUGUGGCUUUUAUCGCCUCCUUCUCUCCUGUCGUCCUUCUCCUCAUUUCAACUCGUCUGAGCAGCACAUGGACUGGAAAGACUGGACGUCACAUUUCAACUGCUUUUUUGUUCACAAUUUUUGUUGUUGUUGUUAGACCAAUAAUUUCAAGCUUGACAGAUCACUA